Molecule: small nuclear RNA, 106 nt
Filed under: Fukomys damarensis (Damara mole-rat)
Lineage: Eukaryota; Metazoa; Chordata; Mammalia; Rodentia; Bathyergidae
Source: RNAcentral
GUACACACACUUCAACAGCACAAACACUAAUAUUCAAAGGGUACAGAGAAGACCAACCUGGCCCCCACACAAGGACGACAUACAAAUUUAAGUGUUUCAUGUGUUU